This 253-nucleotide ribosomal RNA is filed under the name uncultured bacterium. RNAcentral describes it as "partial 16S ribosomal RNA". It matches the Rfam family "Bacterial small subunit ribosomal RNA", at positions 524 to 776 of the family's 1533-position model. The record is from RNAcentral.
UACGUAGGUGGCAAGCGUUAUCCGGAUUUAUUGGGUGUAAAGGGCGUGUAGGCGGGAGCGCAAGUCAGAUGUGAAAACUCAGGGUUCAACCCUGAGCCUGCAUUUGAAACUGUGUUUCUUGAGUGCUGGAGAGGCAAUCGGAAUUCCGUGUGUAGCGGUGAAAUGCGUAGAUAUACGGAGGAACACCAGUGGCGAAGGCGGAUUGCUGGACAGUAACUGACGCUGAGGCGCGAAAGCGUGGGGAGCAAACAGG